RNAcentral lists this ribosomal RNA (445 nucleotides) under uncultured bacterium. RNAcentral describes it as "SSU rRNA". It matches the Rfam family "Bacterial small subunit ribosomal RNA", at positions 26 to 518 of the family's 1533-position model. The record is from RNAcentral.
AGAACGAACGCUGGCGGCAGGCCUAACACAUGCAAGUCGAACGCAGUAGCAAUACUGAGUGGCGCACGGGUGAGUAACACGUGGGAACGUGCCUUUUGGUACGGAAUAACAUCGGGAAACUGAUGCUAAUACCGUAUACGCCCUCCGGGGGAAAGAUUUAUCGCCAAAAGAUCGGCCCGCGUCAGAUUAGCUAGUUGGUGAGGUAAUGGCUCACCAAGGCUUUGAUCUGUAGCUGUUCUGAGAGGAAGAUCAGCCACACUGGAACUGAGACACGGUCCAGACUCCUACGGGAGGCAGCAGUGGGAAUAUUGGACAAUGGGGGAAACCCUGAUCCAGCCAUGCCGCGUGAGUGAUGAAGGCCUUAGGGUUGUAAAGCUCUUUUACCUGGGAAGAUGAUGACGGUACCAGGAGAAUAAGCACCGGCUAACUUCGUGCCAGCAGCCGC